GUGAUCAACCCAUGUUGGCCUCAUAAAGUGCUGCUCUUACAGGCAUGAGCCACUGUGCCCGGCCUGACCUUGGAUGUUUUACUGCAUCCGUUUUCCCAACCAUUCAUGGCUUUGUAACUAGAGCACAGUGUUCUUUCCGUAGAAGGUACUUGAGGAAAGUGUUGCCUAACUUUUUAUUUGCUUGGGGUUGCAAUGUCAGCUUGCGGGAAAUGCACUAGAAAUGUGUGGGGAAACUCUGCUUAGCACCCUCCAUGACUCUCUCAUUUGGUUUUCAAGGACUGACAUAGUGAUGUCAUUCAUUCUUGAACAGAAAGAACUAGCCAACCUUGUUUUCAGAGUCUAGCACACCACUUUGAAUAGAGGCUAGAAUUCUCUUGCUAACCAUCACGCUAUGUACAAAGCAUAGCCAGUAACUUGCUGAAUUUCUGCAUCUCUUGGUCUUUAAUGGAAAAGCAUCUUCUCCAACCUAGGGAAUAAAGUAUACGCUUUGUAAUUUUAUGUAAGGAAAACCCAAUACUAGCUACUCUUUCUGGCAUGUUUACUAUGUGCCACAUAGAUGGUGCCUCUAUUAUGCUGUACAAAUGUUAAUUCAUUCAAUCCUUGGCCCUAACUGGUAAAAUGUAUAUUAUUCUGAAUUUUAUAAAUGAAAAGAGUGGGGCUCAGUUGCUUUUCCAAAGUCGCACAGCUAGAAAGUGGCAAAGUGUGGAGUCAAAUUGACUAACUAUAAGUCCUGCAGACCAGAAAAGGUGACACUUUGCCUUUGAAGACACAACAAGAGGGCUUUCCUGGAUGUCUGCCAGAAACUGCUGUCCUCUGGCAGGUGCUGGGCCUCUGUUCUCCAUGUUCAGACUCCUAAAGAAAACAUUUGUUUAUUUCUCUCUUCUUCUGGUCCCACUUUUACAUCCUAUCCCCAUGGGAGGGUAAAAAAGCAGAGGAGGCCCAUCCACCUCCACUUCUCCUCUUGAUGUUUGCACCAGCGGCCCCAGAGAUGGGGACAGACCGGACUCUGGUGCCAUGGACUGGCACGUGGUCUCAAGUUUCUGGCCCUGGAGUUGGAAUACAGUGCCACUUGCUCUGUAGGAGAUCAGAGGAAUGCUAUUUACAAACAUUGAGUAUCUGAACUCAUUUCAGUGGAUUUGGGAAAAUCACUCUCCAUGGGAAUAAAAGGUAUCGAGAAAGAAUUUUUAAAUACUCUAUAUAUACAUAGGUCGAAUUUAUUAUUUCCAAAUACAACAAAUAUAAUUAUCCUCUCCCAUGAUCUUAAACAGAUGUAUUCCAGAAACAUUUUGUCUGUGUCUUUAAAGGACUGCUUUGCUUUUUCUGAUAUUAGGUCAACAGAAAAAUGUACCACCCUGCUGGUAAAAGUCAGGUUUUGAGCAAUAUCUGCAUAACUGUUAGGUGUAUUAUCAUUAUUUUUUGUCUAACUUUCAUCCUGCACUCCUCAGCAGAACUGAAGAUACUCCCUGUUCCAAGGAAACUCAUAAUCUAAUGAUGCCAUUGGAAAGUCACUGGUUAUUGUUGUGGACCUUUUGCAAAUACCCUCCAAAAAAAGCUUAAUGUGAGUUUUAAUCCAGAUAAAUAAACCUAUUAAGAAGGAAAAGGAGAAGGAAUAAGUGGCAUGAAGAUUUACUACUCUUGGAGUUUGUUUUCUUCUCUGUAAGGAAGAGUUGUUCCCCAUUGCUUCAAUCACAAAAAACCAUUAAACACGGUCCAAGAAGGGGGGAAAAAACAUGGUAGAAGAUCACUUUAUAAGGGACAAUAAGUACUUGAAAAUUAGCAAACAUUCCUUUACAUUUGGGAACUCUUUAAGUGCUCAGGGUGAAUACAUGAGAGGAAGUAAAGAGUGAAGUGUGCAAACUCCAUUUUACAGUCAAUCUGGCAGCAGAAUUCUCAGUGUGUCAAGGAAGUAAGCAAAUGUUAGAGAGGUAAACAGAUUCCAGAUUAACUUACCUAGAAGAGUCUCCAAAAGCAGCUGGGAAGCAGAAGAAUGCAGCUCCUUUCUUGCCAUCUGUAUUGACUGGAAAUCCCCUGGUCUAGUGGUUCCAUUGGCAUGGGGGCAUCACCCUCCUUCCCCCAAACCCUUCAGAAUUUCCAAGGAAGCCUGUCAAGCUCAAUUAAGACUCAUUGUGUCCCCCAGGGUCCUUUUUGCCACAUGGAAGAAGACAGAAUAUGUCUUAUCUUGAUGAUUUUCUUCUAAUCAAUUUGAGUGUCAACAGCUAAAUUUGAAAAAUAGAAUGCAAAGUGAAGACUAGAUUUAUCAUUGUUAAGCUAGGAAACCAAGAGUCUGCAUUUCUGUAUUCUAGGGUGAAAAUGGGAAUUCACCUGUGGAACUCACUGGCCAUUGUGGAAGAAACAGUAAGAUGAUCCUCCCUUCAUUAUCCUGGCCAAUAUGCUCAGAGGGACACCUUGUAUUGCUGGAUGAUAAAAGAGGAACAAAGUGACGAAGUGCUGACAAGGCAAUGACAGAACAUGAGAGAUUUACUGCUGCGUGGGAAGAGAUCUUCAGUGAUCAUGUAGCCUGAAGCUCUCAUUUUGUCAUCGAGGGACACCAAAACUCAGAGCAGGGAACCUUGGAAGUCUGUCACUCUAAAUGAGUCUAUCACUCUAAAUAAAUAUGUGCUCAAGUAUGACCAGCUCAGUUUAAGACACAAAACAGCAACUUGAAGGAGGAAAACUGAAGAGAGUUUAUAGCCUCAGGAAAACUUUAGAGUAAUGCUUGCAGGAGCACUAACUGUUACAAGGAGGGUGAGAUCGAGAGUUCCAGAAAAAUAAGAGAGAAUCUUGCAUCUGGAGCAUAAAUGAUCUUCAAGAAAUACACACAGGAAGUUGAACAGGUAUAUAAACUUCAGAGAAGCUCUCUGGUCUCUCAAAAAUCCCUGUAAGUAUCACAGAGCAGCUGGGAUGCCUCAUUAUCCCCAGAUGCCUAAUUCAUUCUCAUCAUUGUGACUUCAGUCUUUAGCAUCUCAACAAAUAUGGAUAUCCAGCCACUUCUCAACCCCAAAUCCUCAAGAAAAAAGUGAGAUCAUGGGCUGCAUAUUUGAUCCAAAGAAGCUUCAUCAAGUCCUGGGAGUGUCAUCUUCCUAUUUUAGAUACAACUGUGGCCAAAAUAUUUAUCUACCACACAGCUCAUGUUUUCCUUCUCCAAGAAUACAACAGUUGCCCUGAUUAAGGUCUCUUUCAAAAAACUCUAAAAUACCAACUACUCACUGUUUCCAAUUACUCGAGGGAAAGCUAACUUCCAGACAGUCUAUCUGGGUGCAAUUAUUUCAAAUAUUUCUAAGUACUUGGGAGGAAGAGCUCUUGAAACUUUAGUCUCUGAUGACCAGUGUAUGAAUUCAGGUGCCUUUGGGACCUAAAGAAAACAAGAGAGUUCAUUUGAAGGAGGGAGGGUGGGAAAAAUAGAAGGAAGUGUAGUGUUUAGAUUCAUCGGUUUGGAAAGACUUUAAAAAUAUUUAUAUCAGUAUUGAGGAUUUGUGUAUGUUUUAUUUCUUGUCGUGGCUUUGAAGCAGUUACAUGUAUAUCCUCAAAGAUUUUAAGUAUUAUUUCAUAGAGAAUAUCUAUUUAUAAACACAAAUGUAUGAGAUGACUUUCAAUUUUGUUUUAUUUUUGCUGCAUCUCUUGGCCUGCAUUUUUUUUAACUUGAUUUCUUCUAAACUUUGUGAGCCCAGGACAGUGGUUUAUGGGACUUUUCUGAAGGGACAUCUGGAAAACCAAUUAAUGACAUUUCAGGUUGAGCAAGUACCCAUGCUAUGGUUCAGAUGUGUCCUAGUCUCCUGAUAAAGUUAAUAUAUAGGUUUAGAGUACAAUAAUCACAAUAAUAAUAAUAUAGCUAUGCUAUAUGGAGCCUGAAAAAAAUAAAAGAAAUAGAAAGCUCUCCUUCCUCCCCAUGACUAUGAGUUCUUCAAACUCUCAGUUCUUCAAAAAGCUCACGUUUUCUGUGCCUUUAAAUUUUAUGCCAGUCACUGUAUAGUUUAAUGCAUUUUGAAAAUUAUUCUUCACAAUGACUCUAUAAGGUAGGUAAUAGUAUCAUCCUCAUUUCAUAGACUUGGAAACUGGACUUAGAGAGGUUAGCACCUUGCCCAAGUUACAAGGUUGUGAGUGGCAGAGUUAGAACUCAAAUCUAACCCUGGCCUGAAGCCCAAGCCUUACCCACUGUGAUUUACAACCUUUCCUGUAUCAUCCAAGCUGCCCUUGAAGGCUGACACUGAGACCCAGUUAACCUGAACAUAGAGGUACCACUGGGCCCUGGAGAUGCAAAGGCUUAAAUUGCUAAUUCCAAAGGUAUGGACAACUUCUAUUGAAUUUGUUGAAGAUAAUGAAAUCUAGUUCUUCAACAAUUUAGGGAACACUGUCAGUAUUAAAAUUUGGUUUUGGUUUUGUCUCUCUUUUUAAGCAGGUGACAUGAAGAAAAUUUCAUUUGGAGAACAAGGACUAUUAUGUCCACUGAGUUUCUACAUGUCCAUUUAGUUUCUACUGUGUGUUGCUGGGUAUGAGGAACAGAGAAGUUAACAAAACAUGGUCCUUGCACCAAAACACAUAAACAUGUGACUAAAGCGUCUAUUUCACUGGGCAAAUGAUAGUUUUGUCCCUUAAGUCUACAUUUACUAUUAACACCUGGCUAAUCUCCUUAGGGUUAAUAACUCACAGUGGACACCUUCUUGUUCUAUACUGCUAAAAUGAGCUUGGUUCCCUUAAGGGUUCCUUUCCAAGUUUUCUGAGUGAACUGUGGGGUUAAUUCCACCUCCUCCAAACGUUUGCCACUUGUACACUUCUCUCCUUCCAUCUUCUUUGCAGAGCAGCCUUAUGCAGAAAACAAGCUCAAAAAUACAGAUUUUUCUUUGGGCAGGAUUCACACCCAACUCCCAAUGAAACAGAAUUCUAGGAGGUGAGAGCCAAAGUGGUAGAAUUGACCAUAAAAACACUUGAUCCAUCCCUUCUUUUUAAAAUGGAAUAACCAAAACUUUGAAGAGAUAAGUGGCUUGCCUGUUGUCCCAGAGAAAUAAACAACAAAUGCGAAACUUGAACUCAGGUCAUUUUUCAUUUUCUACAACUACAGUUCAUGCCAAGUACAAAUCCUAUGGUCAGAGAUGCCCCUGAUGUGAGCUGUGGUUCAUCACUUUGCACAACAAGUAGAUUCCUAGCAAAAGUUUAUUGAGCAAAUAUACUUGAAUGAGUUCCCAGCUUCUACUCUACCCCUACUUACCUCCCGUACCAGCCCUUUCUCUCACUGCAUGUUCCCUUCCUGAGCUUAACUACCCAGCAAUGCUAAUGCAACUCUUACCUGAGCAGCAGCAACAGGGACAGUAUUUCCAGAAAUAUGUCUGGGCAGAGACGAAGACUACUCUGGAGAGCUAUUUAGUCAGUGCAUUAUCAGGAUAUAUUUUGCUAGUUGACCCCUAGAUAUGCUACACAGAGGAUGAAGCAAGGAUGUUUUAGUAGUAGGGGUUGGUGACAAAUCAAGAGCCUAGGGAAUAGAGAGCAGUGAGAUAAUUGGGCCAAACCACUCAAAAAUGCAAAAACUAGAGAAAAUUGGUGGAUUAACUGAUUUGCCCAAGGCAAUACAGCUCUUUGACACCAGAGGGGGAAUUUGAACUCUGGUGUCAGGAUUCCUAGUCUGGCAACUCUACAUAAUGCUGCUCUCACAGCAGACCAGAAGCCAUAGUGCCUAGUUUGGGAGGUGCUUGUAGCGGGAUAAGGAUGGUGCAGAAAUGGGCUGGGUGUGAUGGCUCACGCCUGUAAUCCCAGCACGUUGGGAG
This is a long non-coding RNA of Cercocebus atys (sooty mangabey), 5756 nucleotides long. RefSeq lists it as uncharacterized. The record is from RefSeq and is a predicted model, not a curated record. The transcript is spliced from 4 exons. NCBI's taxonomy places the organism in Eukaryota, Metazoa, Chordata, Mammalia, Primates, Cercopithecidae.